RNAcentral lists this long non-coding RNA (309 nucleotides) under Dermacentor andersoni. RNAcentral's name for it is "uncharacterized LOC126544883". Lineage: Eukaryota; Metazoa; Arthropoda; Arachnida; Ixodida; Ixodidae. The record is from RNAcentral.
UUUAUUUUUUUUUUGUUAGCGGUAGUCAUGUUUUAGUAGCAUAUACUUUUGUGUGCAGGUGUGAUAGUGAUGUGUUUGUGUAUGCGUGCUUGUUGCUUGUGCCAUUUCAGCUUGCACGUCACACGUGGAGCAGCAUGCCGGGACUGCGGUCAGGCUCCCGAAGAAGACAGCGACGACCGCAAGACCGCAAGGGGUUAUUUAAGCCGCCCUGGACCCCAUGUUAAUCAGAAUCGCUCGAGACUCGGAUUAGAGUCACGACUAUGCACCAAUGAAGUGAAUACAAUCCUUCCUCCUUUUUUCCAUCAUCAC